UUAUUGUGAAUUUUAGAAUGCUUAAAAGGCCUAUGUUAUAUAUGAUGAAAUUUUGGACCUCUAUGUAGUAGAGAGUAGCUUGGUAGGCCUAUAGUUGCAUUUAGCAUUCUAUAUGAGACGUGGUUUCAUGCUCCUAUAGUGUAAAUGAGAUUGGAUUCAUGCAUUUAAACCAAAGUUUAUUUGAGACAUGAAAGUUGACAAAUUUGCCAUAUAGAGCUAUCGAACUAGAAUGUAUGUGAAUUGGAGAGCUAAUGUCAUCAAGCGGCAUUGAGCUCGGGACAUGUGUGAACCUAGUGGUUAGAGCCAUUGAGGGAUUGGGUAUAUGUUGAACAUUAGAUUGUCUAAGUGUCAUCAAGGGGCACUAGGCGUAAUGAAUGUUGGAACUUCAUCUUGUGACUUAGACUAGAUCUUCGGGAUGCUAGUUAUGAUACCAUGUUAGAGACAUGAGGAUUGGACACUUGAGACUUGGACUACGCUUGCUUGCCAUUUGUGCUCAUUCGCACAUGCUUGUGAGGGUCGCUCCCUACAAGCCGGCACUCCGGAGUUAGCCUACGCGACUUAUGUUCGCUCGUGCGGUAUUGAGAAGCCUACGGGGUCGAGUGGGACAGACACAUUCCAAGAGUAGGGAUGUUGGGCUACCACAGGCACUUAGGCGGCACAAGCUGGACUACCUUUGGUAGGUCCUUAAUUGGAAAUGGAAAUCGACACGGUGUUGAGAAUGGUUAAUCGCUACUAGAUAGGUUUAGUAGUUGAAUUACAUUUAUAUGCUUUUAGCAUAGUGUUGAGACAUGUAGUAUACUUGAUAGUCUCCUUUUGCAUUAGAGCAUACUUGGUUGCCAUGACAGAACUUAUGCAUAAUGUAUUCAUAAAGGUUAAUGACAUACUAUUUUGAUAUCGUAGAUGUACAUCACCAUGACAU
This 919-nucleotide long non-coding RNA is filed under the name Ananas comosus (pineapple). Its description in RNAcentral is "long non-coding RNA (ACOM_LNC043699)". Lineage: Eukaryota; Viridiplantae; Streptophyta; Magnoliopsida; Poales; Bromeliaceae. The record is from RNAcentral.